CCUACGGGAGGCAGCAGUGGGGAAUAUUGCACAAUGGGGGAAACCCUGAUGCAGCGACGCCGCGUGGGUGACGAAGUAUUUCGGUAUGUAAAGCCCUAUCAGCAGGGAAGAAGAUGACAGUACCUGACUAAGAAGCCCCGGCUAACUACGUGCCAGCAGCCGCGGUAAUACGUAGGGGGCAAGCGUUAUCCGGAUUUACUGGGGGUAAAGGGAGCGUAGGCGGUAUGGCAAGCCAGAAGUGAAAACCCGGGGCUUAACCCCGGGGAUUGCUUUUGAAACUGUCAGGCUAGAGUGCAGGAGAGGCAGGCGGAAUUCCUGGUGUAGCGGGGAAAUGCGUAGAUAUCAGGAGGAACACCGGUGGCGAAGGCGGCCUGCUGGACUGUAACUGACGCUGAGGCUCGAAAGCGUGGGGAGCAAACAGGAUUAGAUACCCCAGUAGUC
Molecule: ribosomal RNA, 441 nt
Filed under: uncultured bacterium
Lineage: Bacteria
Description: partial 16S ribosomal RNA
Rfam family: Bacterial small subunit ribosomal RNA
Source: RNAcentral